GAUGAACGCUAGCUACAGGCUUAACACAUGCAAGUCGAGGGGAAACGACAUCGAAAGCUUGCUUUUGAUGGGCGUCGACCGGCGCACGGGUGAGUAACGCGUAUCCAACCUGCCCAUCACUUGGGGAUAACCUUGCGAAAGUAAGACUAAUACCCAAUGAUAUCCCACGAAGGCAUCGGAAUGGGAUUAAAGAUUUAUCGGUGAUGGAUGGGGAUGCGUCUGAUUAGCUUGUUGGCGGGGUAACGGCCCACCAAGGCAACGAUCAGUAGGGGUUCUGAGAGGAAGGUCCCCCACAUUGGAACUGAGACACGGUCCAAACUCCUACGGGAGGCAGCAGUGAGGAAUAUUGGUCAAUGGGCGAGAGCCUGAACCAGCCAAGUAGCGUGCAGGAAGACGGCCCUAUGGGUUGUAAACUGCUUUUAUAAGGGAAUAAAGUGGGUCACGUGUGACUUUUUGCAUGUACCUUAUGAAUAAGGACCGGCUAAUUCCGUG
This 492-nucleotide ribosomal RNA is filed under the name uncultured bacterium. RNAcentral's name for it is "partial 16S ribosomal RNA". It matches the Rfam family "Bacterial small subunit ribosomal RNA", at positions 28 to 507 of the family's 1533-position model. The record is from RNAcentral.